RNAcentral lists this transfer RNA (67 nucleotides) under Cocculina enigmadonta. Its description in RNAcentral is "tRNA-Asn". The record is from RNAcentral. Lineage: Eukaryota; Metazoa; Mollusca; Gastropoda; Cocculinidae.
UAAGUUAAAGCUAAAAUAGAGGCGUCUAACUGUUAAUUAGAAAAUUGUAAUAACAAAACUAACUUAG